Molecule: ribosomal RNA, 237 nt
Filed under: uncultured bacterium
Lineage: Bacteria
Description: partial 16S ribosomal RNA
Rfam family: Bacterial small subunit ribosomal RNA
Source: RNAcentral
GAUCAUGGCUCAGGAUGAACGCUGGCGGCGUGCUUAACACAUGCAAGUCGAGCGAAGUGCUUAAGUCUGAUUCUUCGGAUGAAGACUUUUGUGACUGAGCGGCGGACUGGUGAGUAACGCGUGGGGUAACCUGCCUCAUACAGGGGGAUAACAGUUAGAAAUGACUGCUAAUACCGCAUAAGACCACGGUACCGCAUGGUACAGUGGUAAAAACUCCGGUGGUAUGAGAUGGACCCG